GGACCCGCACAAGCGGUGGAUGAUGUGGAUUAAUUCGAUGCAACGCGAAAAACCUUACCUACCCUUGACAUGCUCGGAAUCCUGAUGAGAGUUGGGAGUGCCCGAAAGGGAGCCGGGACACAGGUGCUGCAUGGCUGUCGUCAGCUCGUGUCGUGAGAUGUUGGGUUAAGUCCCGCAACGAGCGCAACCCUUGUCAUUAAUUGCCAUCAUUGAGUUGGGCACUUUAAUGAGACUGCCGGUGACAAACCGGAGGAAGGUGGGGAUGACGUCAAGUCCUCAUGGCCCUUAUGGGUAGGGCUUCACACGUCAUACAAUGGUCGGUACAGAGGGUCGCCAACCCGCGAGGGGGAGCCAAUCCCAGAAAGCCGAUCGUAGUCCGGAUCGCAGUCUGCAACUCGACUGCGUGAAGUCGGAAUCGCUAGUAAUCGCGGAUCAGCAUGUCGCGGUGAAUACGUUCCCGGGUCUU
This 466-nucleotide ribosomal RNA is filed under the name uncultured bacterium. RNAcentral's name for it is "bacterial SSU rRNA". It matches the Rfam family "Bacterial small subunit ribosomal RNA", at positions 917 to 1382 of the family's 1533-position model. The record is from RNAcentral.